Molecule: ribosomal RNA, 119 nt
Filed under: Ulva pertusa
Lineage: Eukaryota; Viridiplantae; Chlorophyta; Ulvophyceae; Ulvales; Ulvaceae
Source: RNAcentral
UGAUACGGUCAUACCACCAGGAAAACAGGCGAUCCCAUCUGAACUCGCAACUUAAGCCUGGUUGGGCAGGAUUAGUACUGGGCUGAGUGAUCUCCUGGGAAUCCCCUGUGCUGUAUCGC